GGGUUAGUAGGUUGGUCGUGCCUCUGGUAUGUACUGGCUUUACUGAUUCCUCCUUCUUGAAGAACUGUAAUGUCAUUAAUUUGGUGUUGCAGGGAAACAGGACUGUUACUUUGAAAAAAUUAGAGUGUUUAAAGCAGGCUAACGCUUGAAUACAUUAGCAUGGAAUAAUGAAAUAGGACGUUUGAUCCUAUUUUGUUGGUUUCUAGGAUUGACGUA
RNAcentral lists this ribosomal RNA (216 nucleotides) under uncultured Glomus. RNAcentral's name for it is "partial small subunit ribosomal RNA". The stretch from base 38 to 216 matches the Rfam family "Eukaryotic small subunit ribosomal RNA", at positions 684 to 864 of the family's 1831-position model. The record is from RNAcentral. Lineage: Eukaryota; Fungi; Glomeromycota; Glomeromycetes; Glomerales; Glomeraceae.